UACGAAGAAAACUAGCAUUGUUCGGAAUUACUGGGCGUAAAGCGCACGUAGGCGGAUAUUUAAGUCGGGAGUGAAAUCCCGGGGCUCAACCCCGGAACUGCCUUCGAUACUGGGUAUCUUGAGUUCGGAAGAGGUGGGUGGAACUGCGAGUGUAGAGGUGAAAUUCGUAGAUAUUCGCAGGAACACCAGUGGCGAAGGCGGCUCACUGGUCCGAUACUGACGCUGAGGUGCGAAAGCGUGGGGAGCAAACAGG
Molecule: ribosomal RNA, 253 nt
Filed under: uncultured bacterium
Lineage: Bacteria
Description: partial 16S ribosomal RNA
Rfam family: Bacterial small subunit ribosomal RNA
Source: RNAcentral